This 455-nucleotide ribosomal RNA is filed under the name uncultured bacterium. RNAcentral's name for it is "bacterial SSU rRNA". It matches the Rfam family "Bacterial small subunit ribosomal RNA", at positions 30 to 507 of the family's 1533-position model. The record is from RNAcentral.
AUUGAACGCUGGCGGAAUGCUUUACACAUGCAAGUCGAACGGUAGAGGGGGCAACCCCUUGAGAGUGGCGAACGGGUGAGUAAUAUAUCGGAACGUGCCCAGUCGUGGGGGAUAACGUAGCGAAAGUUACGCUAAUACCGCAUACGAUCUAAGGAUGAAAGCGGGGGAUCGCAAGAUCUCGCGCGAUUGGAGCGGCCGAUAUCAGAUUAGCUAGUUGGUAGGGUAAAGGCCUACCAAGGCGACGAUCUGUAGCGGGUCUGAGAGGAUGAUCCGCCACACUGGGACUGAGACACGGCCCAGACUCCUACGGGAGGCAGCAGUGGGGAAUUUUGGACAAUGGGGGAAACCCUGAUCCAGCAAUGCCGCGUGAGCGAAGAAGGCCUUCGGGUUGUAAAGCUCUUUUACCAGGGAUGAUAAUGACAGUACCUGGAGAAUAAGCUCCGGCUAACUCCGUG